GCUGGGCAUAGUGGCGUGUGCCUGUAAUCCCAGCUACUUGGGAGGCUGAGGCAGGAGAAUCGCUUGAACCUGGGAGGCGGAGGUUGCAGUGAACUGAGACUGCGCCACUGUACUCCAGCCUGGGCAACAGAGCAAGACUCUGCCUCAA
Molecule: non-coding RNA, 148 nt
Filed under: Chlorocebus sabaeus (green monkey)
Lineage: Eukaryota; Metazoa; Chordata; Mammalia; Primates; Cercopithecidae
Source: Rfam by way of RNAcentral